RNAcentral lists this long non-coding RNA (2239 nucleotides) under Vigna radiata. Its description in RNAcentral is "long non-coding RNA (VRAD_LNC000006)". The record is from RNAcentral. Lineage: Eukaryota; Viridiplantae; Streptophyta; Magnoliopsida; Fabales; Fabaceae.
UUUUUUUGUUCAGAGGAGACCAAGUGGUUUGUGGGGGAACAUGGCAGAGAGGUUUUGGGAAUUUGGCAGAGCAGAGAGCAAGAGAGCAAAUCGUUACUGAAAAAGUGGCAGGCGGAGGUGGCCAAAAGAGAGCAACAAAACAUCAGAGAGGGAUCAUUGUUACGAACACAAGCAAAGAAAACCGAGUUACCGAGGACAGUGUUAUCGUGAGCAUUCAUUCUACAAAGGAGAAUAGGAGCUCCGAGAGCAAUUGGUGGAACUGCACUAGGAAGGAUAAGGAGACCCAUCGGAGCUGCAAGGUUGACGGUAACAGCUGAGUCUUCAAGAGGUGAGUGAUCCAUCCUUACACAUGAGUCUCUUUGUUAUUUACUGUUGCAUUGCUACUCUGAAUGUCAUCAAGCAUCUUUCCCAUUGUAUAUGACUAAGACUUGAAUCCUUCCCCNUCAUCGUUCCUUAUCAUACUCUGCCGUGUUCACUCUUCACUCACGGAGCCAAUAACCGAGCCAAAUAACAACACCCUAUUGCAUCACACUUCUCUUGGCCAUAGCGUAACCACCGCUCCUCCCCCUCCAUUCCCAACGUCCACGACCAAGCUCAAACACACAACACCAAAAAAACACACGCAGGGUUGAUCCUUCCCCUCACACCAUCAUCCCUCAACCUGCAUUAUACAAAAACNACGGAAAGCCAAGCCAAUCACAAAACCAGUAUCACCAGUAUCACUAGUAUCACUUUCCAUUGGUACCAUCAUCCUCACAGAUUCCAGAAACCACAUACAAUAAAAAGAGAGAAUGUAAGGGAGAGGAAAACAGAGUAACAGCUGGUCUCACAAGUUCAAACUCACACNCGCACAAUACAAUGUCGGGAACCCAACACACUUCGGCAAGCAUAGUAGGAAUUUCCAAAUCAUCGCGAACACCCCUAUCCCCACCGGAAACCAAGUCAAAGGUUGAGAAAGGUGAGGCCUCUUCUCUGGUGUGCGUGAGGUUGAGGUGUUGAGAUCCGAGAGAGAAGUUGGGNACGGCGCCGGGGCUGACUUCGAUUCCUGCGGUUUUGGUCGUCGCCGGUGAGGCCAGGUAGAGGUUGCUAUGCCGGUGGCCGGUCGGGAUGAAUCGCGAAGGGGAGCGAUUGUUCCUCUUUCUGCUGGCNCGAAGAAGACGCGUGAGGGCGGUGAUCGUGGCAGCCCUGACGCUAGGAGGAUGGAUGUUGCGGUACGGUGGCUGUCGAGGCGGAGGCGCGGUGACCGUUUCCGGCAGUUGCCGGCGUCGCUAAAAGGGGGAAAACCCCACCCCUGGGACGAGUCGCGAAGAGGAAGGGAGAGGGAGGCCGGCGAUAAGGUCGCUGACCGGACAUUGGCGAGUGCGUCAGCGUCGCCGUGGCUGAUCGACGGGAACAGCGGUGCGGUGGCUGUCGGAGAGGCAUCGGCCGGUGGUGAUGGGAGGUUGCGUGAAUGGUAGAGUGGGAGGCCUCUAGGGUUUUUUGGGAGGGAGAUGUUUAGCCUCUUAGGUUAGGUUCUGGGCGUUUGAAAUGAGAGGCAAUUUGGGAGACCCCUUAGGGUUUCUGAAGUUGGGGAGGGCUUUGNGCCCUUGGGCCAAGCCCGAAGGCCAGCAGUUCACUUCUGCACCCCCCAUGGCUACUAAUUGGCGCCAUUGNAUAAUGGGUUUGAGCUCAUUCAUUCUCUGUACCCCCUUUGCUUCCAUCCGCAACCCCCAUCCCUUUGGGUUCGAGCCCAUUCUGCCAACAAAAAAAAAACGUUUCUGCACCCCCUGUUUCCACUUAGUCGCGCCUCUUUNCACAUGGGCUUAGACCCAGUGUGCUAUUAAACUAAAAUUAGAUCUGCACCCCUGUUUUAUUCAUUUCCACCCUUUUUCUACUUGGGCUUAGGCCCAAUCUGUUAUUAGAGCUAAAUUGGUUUAAGCACUCCUUUUUUUUUUUAUUUAAGUACCUCCCCAUCCUUUCUUAUUAGUUUAUUUCUAUCUAUUUUAUCUAUUAAUUUUUUAUUUUGUUUUCUUUAUUUAUUUUUAUUUGUCUUUUUCUUUCUUUUUUUUCUUUUGCCUCCAUUAAAAUAUAUUCAUUUACCCUUUUUUUUUUAAAUAUACUUUUAUAAAAAUUAAAAAAAAAUUAAAAAAUAUAUUUAAAGGGGUCUAGCACAUGUGUGAUCGUACGCAUCGUCCUUGCGCUAGAAAACCCUUUUCUUUUCUAAAUAAAAAAAUUAAAAAUACCAAAAAUAUAUUUUAAG